Molecule: non-coding RNA, 73 nt
Organism: Danio rerio (zebrafish)
Lineage: Eukaryota; Metazoa; Chordata; Actinopteri; Cypriniformes; Danionidae
Source: the annotation of a RefSeq genome assembly
GGUAGCGUGGCCGAGUGGUCUAAGGCGCUAGAUUAAGACUUUGGGGGCGUGGGUUCGAAUCCCACCGCUGUCA